RNAcentral lists this ribosomal RNA (497 nucleotides) under uncultured bacterium. RNAcentral describes it as "partial 16S ribosomal RNA". It matches the Rfam family "Bacterial small subunit ribosomal RNA", at positions 28 to 507 of the family's 1533-position model. The record is from RNAcentral.
GAUGAACGCUGGCGGCGUGCCUAAUACAUGCAAGUCGAGCGAACAGAUGAGGAGCUUACUCCUCUGACGUUAGCGGCGGACGGGUGAGUAACACGUGGAUAACCUACCUAUAAGACUGGGAUAACUUCGGGAAACCGGAGCUAAUACCGGAUAAUAUAUUGAACCGCAUGGUUCAAUAGUGAAAGACGGUUUUGCUGUCUCUUAUAGAUGGAUCCGCGCCGCAUUAGCUAGUUGGUAAGGUAACGGCUUACCAAGGCAACGAUGCGUAGCCGACCUGAGAGGGUGAUCGGCCACACUGGAACUGAGACACGGUCCAGACUCCUACGGGAGGCAGCAGUAGGGAAUCUUCCGCAAUGGGCGAAAGCCUGACGGAGCAACGCCGCGUGAGUGAUGAAGGUCUUCGGAUCGUAAAACUCUGUUAUUAGGGAAGAACAAAUGUGUAAGUAACUAUGCACGUCUUGACGGUACCUAAUCAGAAAGCCACGGCUAACUACGUG